GUGCCAGCAGCCGCGGUAAUACGGAGGAUGCAAGCGUUAUCCGGAUUUAUUAGGGUUUAAAGGGUGCGCAGGCGGACGAUCAAGUCAGCGGUAAAAUUUCGGGGCUCAACCCCGUCCGGCCGUUGAAACUGGUUAUCUGGAGUGCGACAGAAGGAUGCGGAAUGCGAGGUGUAGCGGUGAAAUGCAUAGAUAUCGCGCAGAACUCCGAUUGCGAAGGCAGCGUCCUAUGUCGUAACUGACGCUGAGGCACGAAAGCGUGGGGAUCGAACAGGAUUAGAUACCCUGGUAGUCCACGCAGUAAACGAUGAGUACUAGCUGUUUGGUUAGAGUGAUAAUUGAGCGGCACAGCGAAAGCGUUAAGUACUCCACCUGGGGAGUACGCCGGCAACGGUGAAACUCAAAGGAAUUGACGGGGGCCCGCACAAGCGGAGGAACAUGUGGUUUAAUUCGAUGAUACGCGAGGAACCUUACCCGGGCUCAAACGACAGGGGCAUAAUUUGGAAACAGAUUAGUCAGCAAUGACCGCUGUCGAGGUGCUGCAUGGUUGUCGUCAGCUCGUGCCGUGAGGUGUCGGCUUAAGUGCCAUAACGAGCGCAACCCCCAUCUUCAGUUACUAACGGGUUAUGCCGAGGACUCUGGAGAGACUGCCGGCGCAAGCUGCGAGGAAGGCGGGGAUGACGUCAAAUCAGCACGGCCCUUACGUCCGGGGCGACACACGUGUUACAAUGGCGGGGUACAGAGGGAAGCCAUGUGGCGACACAGAGCAGAUCCCGAAAACCCGUCUCAGUUCGGAUUGGAGUCUGCAACUCGACUCCAUGAAGCUGGAUUCGCUAGUAAUCGCGCAUCAGCCAUGGCGCGGUGAAUACGUUCCCGGGCCUUGUACACACCGCCCGU
RNAcentral lists this ribosomal RNA (894 nucleotides) under uncultured bacterium. Its description in RNAcentral is "bacterial SSU rRNA". It matches the Rfam family "Bacterial small subunit ribosomal RNA", at positions 505 to 1397 of the family's 1533-position model. The record is from RNAcentral.